CCUCCAUCUCGCCAUCGAUCGGCGGGCGCCGCUCCUCGCCGCGGCCCGGGGGAUCCGAGCGCUCGUGGUGGUACCUGGACGAAGAUCUGCGAAGACAGAGGGGAAAACUUUGUUCUUGCUGAUCUGGGGAAGUUGCAAGCUUCAGUCAUGUGCUUGGAUCCAUGGAGAUUUGGAGGAGGAGGAAGAAGGACUAAAUUUGUCGGACAUCUAAAUUUAACUGCUGCAGGUGCUGCAUGGAGAUUCUUGCAGAUACGGAGGGAGGAAGAAGAGCCGGAUCAGUUUGUCUUUGCACAAGUAUCUAGAGGAGAGGAGAGGACGAGAGAGAGAGGGUUCCGUGGUGGUUAUGCUUUUGAUGCGUUGGGUUAGGUCGGCUAUGCAUGGUUGUCUGUUACUUUCACUGACGUGUUUGAGGUGUUCAGUACGUACCUUUUCUUGA
Molecule: long non-coding RNA, 436 nt
Organism: Lolium rigidum
Lineage: Eukaryota; Viridiplantae; Streptophyta; Magnoliopsida; Poales; Poaceae
Exons: 2
Source: RefSeq, a predicted model, not a curated record